UCAUGGUUAGCUCAGUUGGUAGAGCGCUCCGCUAGAAACGGUGAGGUCCCCGGUUCGAUACCAGGACCGGGCG
This 73-nucleotide transfer RNA is filed under the name Ixodes scapularis (black-legged tick). It matches the Rfam family "tRNA". From Rfam's summary of the family: Transfer RNA (tRNA) molecules are approximately 80 nucleotides in length. Their secondary structure includes four short double-helical elements and three loops (D, anti-codon, and T loops). Further hydrogen bonds mediate the characteristic L-shaped molecular structure. tRNAs have two regions of fundamental functional importance: the anti-codon, which is responsible for specific mRNA codon recognition, and the 3' end, to which the tRNAs corresponding amino acid is attached (by aminoacyl-tRNA synthetases). tRNAs cope with the degeneracy of the genetic code in two manners: having more than one tRNA (with a specific anti-codon) for a particular amino acid; and 'wobble' base-pairing, i.e. permitting non-standard base-pairing at the 3rd anti-codon position. The record is from Rfam by way of RNAcentral. Lineage: Eukaryota; Metazoa; Arthropoda; Arachnida; Ixodida; Ixodidae.